Gadus macrocephalus (Pacific cod) is the source of this 785-nucleotide long non-coding RNA. RefSeq lists it as uncharacterized. The record is from RefSeq and is a predicted model, not a curated record. NCBI's taxonomy places the organism in Eukaryota, Metazoa, Chordata, Actinopteri, Gadiformes, Gadidae. The transcript is spliced from 4 exons.
UUUCCCAGAUAGCAGAAGAUGUUAUUUCAACGUGGAAUUUUGAUUGAAAUGGUUGAUUUAUGGUGAUGGUUGAAAAUGUGAUGGUGAAUCAACCACUGAAGAAUUGAAAGUUGAAAAAAUGUCAUUGAAUCAACAUUGUAUUAUGGUGGGAUUUAAUGGUUGAAUUGCAAACAUUAGAUCAAUGUUUAUUCAAUGUUGUCAAACCGAUUAGGCGGGACGCAGGAGGAGUGGCGGGAACUGCUAGGUGAGACCAUUAAGAUGAGGGGUUUCAUAUAUUUUUUAUUAUUAUAUAUUUUUCGUUAAACACAAUGCUGUGGAAAAUUGAUUGUGAUGUUUCUUUUAACAUGUAUCUUAGGUUAUGUGUGUAACCUUUAAGAGAACAAAUAAAAAUAAGAAACCAAAAACAUAUCUCACCACUUGUUUGGAACAGUCCAUAUCAGUUUCUAGCUGCUACCGUUACCGUUACGUUACAGAAGAACUCCAGUGCCAUUUUGAGUGAAUGCUUUCCUCAUACCAACUCCUGCUCGAGGCAAAAUCCACUGUAUAUGGACUCGGACUCUGAUGAGCCAUCAAAUGAACCGAAGAAACCACGUCUUUCACGCCCGCCUGAUGUGAGAGUUCCAGCAGCAUGGUCCUCACAACUGGCAAGAAAUGAAACGAUGGCAGCAUCCGCCACUGCGCUGGGCCGUACCACCAGCUGCAGGUCCCACAGAGAGAGGGUACCAGUAUAUCACCAUAUGGUUCCGUGCACACCCUAUUUCGUGCCCCACAAUAUGCACAAAACG